CAAAAUGGCCGCCCCCGGUGCCGCGGCGCUCGGCGGCCGCCGCUGCGCGGGCAGGCGAAGGGAGGGGGCCGCGCCCUGCUCGGCGGCCGCGCCGGCGCCAGGCGAAGAGCGCGCGCAGCCGCCGCUCGCCUCCGCCCGCCUCGCUUCCGGCCCGCUGGCGGCGGUGGUGGCCGCUGUCACCGCUCCAAGGGCAGUGGGGCCGGGCUGGGGGCACCGGGUCCUGCGGCCUGCCGCUGUGGGGCCGCAGCGCUGGCCUGGGGGCCGCGGCGGAGCCCUCCCGGACCGGCCGGGCGCACUCUCGGUGCGGGCAGCUGCAGGGCCGGGGCGCUGCAGAGCGGCCGGCGGGCGGUUUGCGCGUGGUCGGCCGCGGCGAGGCCUGCGUUAGGGCGGCUGCCUGCCCGCCUGCGCCGGGCCGGGGCUGCCAGCGCUCCCUUAGCUGCCGCGGCGGCCCGGAGCGUAGUCGCAUCGUUAGUUGGAAGACAGCUUUCACGUUUCUAGGAUUUUUGGAUAAUAAUCUAAAGAAAGCUUUUAUGUGUAUUAGUGGUCAUUAGAUUUGGUAUUGACUCUGUAUAGCAGUCCUUGUAGUGUGAAUCUGUAUUGCCUGCUGCCUGCCUCAGGGACACUUCUCAUGGCUCUUCCUGUAUAUCCACCGUGAGGAAGAUUCUUGAGGGAUCGGGGAUGUGAGCUGUGUUAAUUCCAAGUUUGCAGUAGUCCGCGGAAUAUUUUACAGAAAUACAUCUGCAAAUUGAGAAAGUAAACUUUAAAAAUCUCAGCAAAACCGGGGCUGAAAAAAACAUCUCACAAACAACUAAUUAAUGUGAAGAAUAACGAAAGAGGUGGUGGUGAUUUGGUGACAUGACUGAAAGAAAGUCACAGCAAUAUGCAAAGAAGGCUCCAGACUGCCAGCUUGUGAGUCCAGACUCUUCCAGGGCCCUGUGUAGACCAUACAAACUUAUUCAAAACCUUAAAAUAAAGGUUAGGAGUACCAAA
This is a long non-coding RNA of Rhea pennata, 990 nucleotides long. RefSeq lists it as uncharacterized. Lineage: Eukaryota; Metazoa; Chordata; Aves; Rheiformes; Rheidae. The transcript has 3 exons. The record is from RefSeq and is a predicted model, not a curated record.